Molecule: non-coding RNA, 108 nt
Filed under: Habropoda laboriosa
Lineage: Eukaryota; Metazoa; Arthropoda; Insecta; Hymenoptera; Apidae
Source: RNAcentral
GUGUAGCGUGAAAGGAGAGACGUUUAGCACUCCCCUAGACAAGGAUGGAAACACGUAUAAAUUGGUAAGGCACUGUCGUCACUUGGCGACACUUACCAGGAUAGAAUA